GACGAACGCUGGCGGCGUGCUUAACACAUGCAAGUCGAACGGAAAGGCCCUGCUUGUGUGGUGUGCUCGAGUGGCGAACGGGUGAGUAACACGUGAGUAACCUGCCCUUGACUUUGGGAUAACUUCAGGAAACUGGGGCUAAUACCGGAUAGGAGCUCCUGCUGCAUGGUGGGGGUUGGAAAGUUGCGGCGGGUGGGGAUGGACGCGCGGCUUAUCAGCUUGUUGGUGGGGUAGUGGCUUACCAAGGCUUUGACGGGUAGCCGGCCUGAGAGGGUGACCGGGGACAUUGGGACUGCGAUAGGGACCAGAGUCCUAUGGGAGGCAGUAGUGGGGAAUAUUGCCCAGUGGGCGGAAGUGUGAGGCAGCAGCGCCGGGGUUGGGAUGACGGCUUGCGGGUUGUGAAACGCUUUCGGUUGUUACGAAGCGUGAGUGACGGUAAUGGGUAAAGAAGCACCGGCUAACUACGUG
RNAcentral lists this ribosomal RNA (468 nucleotides) under uncultured bacterium. RNAcentral describes it as "partial 16S ribosomal RNA". It matches the Rfam family "Bacterial small subunit ribosomal RNA", at positions 28 to 507 of the family's 1533-position model. The record is from RNAcentral.